RNAcentral lists this ribosomal RNA (497 nucleotides) under uncultured bacterium. RNAcentral's name for it is "partial 16S ribosomal RNA". It matches the Rfam family "Bacterial small subunit ribosomal RNA", at positions 28 to 507 of the family's 1533-position model. The record is from RNAcentral.
GAUGAACGCUGGCGGCGUGCCUAAUACAUGCAAGUCGAGCGAACAGACGAGGAGCUUGCUCCUCUGACGUUAGCGGCGGACGGGUGAGUAACACGUGGAUAACCUACCUAUAAGACUGGGAUAACUUCGGGAAACCGGAGCUAAUACCGGAUAAUAUAUUGAACCGCAUGGUUCAAUAGUGAAAGACGGUUUUGCUGUCACUUAUAGAUGGAUCCGCGCCGCAUUAGCUAGUUGGUAAGGUAACGGCUUACCAAGGCAACGAUGCGUAGCCGACCUGAGAGGGUGAUCGGCCACACUGGAGCUGAGACGCGGUCAAGACUCCUACGGGAGGCAGCAGUAGGGAAUCUUACGCAAUGGGGGAGAGCCUGACGGAGCAACGCCGCGUGAGUUAUGAAGGUCUUGGGAUCGUAAAACUCUGUUAUUAGGGAAGAACAAAUGUGUAAGUAACUAUGCACGUCUUGACGGUACCUAAUCAGAAAGCCACGGCUAACUACGUG